AGGGAAUCUUCCGCAAUGGAUGAAAGUCUGACGGAGCAACGCCGCGUGAGUGAUGAAGGUUUUCGGAUCGUAAAGCUCUGUUGCCUGGGAAGAACGUCCUGUAGAGUAACUGCUACAGGAGUGACGGUACCUGAGAAGAAAGCCCCGGCUAACUACGUGCCAGCAGCCGCGGUAAUACGUAGGGGGCAAGCGUUGUCCGGAAUUAUUGGGCGUAAAGCGCGCGCAGGCGGCUGUUUAAGUCUGGUGUUUAAUCCUGGGGCUCAACCCCGGGUCGCACUGGAAACUGGAUGGCUUGAGUGCAGAAGAGGAGAGUGGAAUUCCACGUGUAGCGGUGAAAUGCGUAGAGAUGUGGAGGAACACCAGUGGCGAAGGCGACUCUCUGGGCUGUAACUGACGCUGAGGCGCGAAAGCGUGGGGAGCAAAC
RNAcentral lists this ribosomal RNA (424 nucleotides) under uncultured bacterium. Its description in RNAcentral is "bacterial SSU rRNA". It matches the Rfam family "Bacterial small subunit ribosomal RNA", at positions 356 to 773 of the family's 1533-position model. The record is from RNAcentral.